CUAAUUAUAUAUAAGUGAAGUCCAUUGAAAAUCUCUCUCAUUCAAUGCGUCAACCUAGAGCCAUAGAGAGGGUAGGAGAGAAGGGCUACACUGUUGAGCCUUGAAGCAUUAGGAAUGUCAAGUUUGGUUAUUAUUCCCACUGCAUCUGAAGGAAGCAUCCAAAGGGAUCGCAUUGAUCCUAAAACUUUAGUGUUAAAUUUCUAUUUACCUUCACAAAAUAUUUGGGAUCAUGCUAUCCCUUUGGAUUUCUCCUU
Non-coding RNA from Lupinus albus (white lupine), 254 nucleotides. The record is from the annotation of a GenBank genome assembly. NCBI's taxonomy places the organism in Eukaryota, Viridiplantae, Streptophyta, Magnoliopsida, Fabales, Fabaceae.